RNAcentral lists this ribosomal RNA (467 nucleotides) under uncultured bacterium. RNAcentral describes it as "partial 16S ribosomal RNA". It matches the Rfam family "Bacterial small subunit ribosomal RNA", at positions 28 to 507 of the family's 1533-position model. The record is from RNAcentral.
GACGAACGCUGGCGGCGUGCUUAACACAUGCAAGUCGAACGGAAAGGCCUCUUUCGGGGGGUACUCGAGUGGCGAACGGGUGAGUAACACGUGAGUAGCCUGCCCUUGACUUUGGGAUAACUUCAGGAAACUGGGGCUAAUACCGGAUAGGAGCUCCUGCUGCAUGGUGGGGGUUGGAAAGUUUCGGCGGUUGGGGAUGGACUCGCGGCUUAUCAGCUUGUUGGUGGGGUAGUGGCUUACCAAGGCUUUGACGGGUAGCCGGCCUGAGAGGGUGACCGGCCACAUUGGGACUGAGAUACGGCCCAGACUCCUACGGGAGGCAGCAGUGGGGAAGAUUGCACAAUGGGUGGAAGCCUGAUGCAGCAACGCCGUGUGCGGGAUGACGGCCUUCGGGUUGUAAACCGCUUUCGCUCAUGACGAAGCUUUGUGUGACGGUAGUGGGUAAAGAAGCACCGGCUAACUACGUG